This is a non-coding RNA of Macaca mulatta (Rhesus monkey), 76 nucleotides long. Lineage: Eukaryota; Metazoa; Chordata; Mammalia; Primates; Cercopithecidae. The record is from Rfam.
GGCAUGGCAGGCCUUCUCUUUCCAGUUCUUCCCAGAAUUGGGAAAAGCUGGGUUGACAGGGUAAAAAAAAGAAAAA